Hyaena hyaena (striped hyena) is the source of this 103-nucleotide small nuclear RNA. Lineage: Eukaryota; Metazoa; Chordata; Mammalia; Carnivora; Hyaenidae. The record is from RefSeq and is a predicted model, not a curated record.
GUGCUCGCUCCAGCAGCACACAUACUAAAACUGGAAUGAUGCAAAGAUUAGCACGGCCCCUGCACAAGAUGACACGCAAAUUCAUGAAGCAUUCCAUAUUUAA